Molecule: ribosomal RNA, 695 nt
Filed under: uncultured archaeon
Lineage: Archaea
Description: bacterial SSU rRNA
Rfam family: Archaeal small subunit ribosomal RNA
Source: RNAcentral
GGCUCAGUAACACGUAGCUAACCUACCCUUAGGACGGGGAUAACCCUGGGAAACUGGGGACAAUCCCCGAUAGGCGAAGACUCCUGGAACGGGCCUUCACCCAAAAAGUGUUACGAUCAUGCUCGUAACAUCGCUUGAGGACGGGGCCGCGACCGAUCAGGCUGUUGGUGAGGCAACGGCUCACCAAACCUAUAACCGGUACGGGCCGUGGGAGCGGGAGCUCGGAGAUGGGAACUGAGACAAGGUCCCAGGCCCUACGGGGCGCAGCAGUCGCGAAAACUUGUCAAUGCACGAAAGUGUGAACGGGCUACCCCGAGUGCCGUCCGCUGAGGAUGGCUUUUCUCUGCUGUAAGGAGGCGGAGGAAUAAGGCGAGGGCAAGUCUGGUGUCAGCCGCCGCGGUAAUACCAGCUCGCCGAGUGGUAGGGAUGAUUAUUGGGCUUAAAGCGUCCGUAGCCGGCCCUUCAAGUCUCUCGUUAAAUCCAGCGAUUCAAUCGUUGGACUGCGGGAGAUACUGUCANGCUAGGGGGCGGGAGAAGCCGACGGUAUUUNCGGGGUAGGGGUAAAAUCCUAUAAUCCCNGGAAGACCACCAGUGGCGUAGGCGGUCGGCUAGCACGCGCUCGACGGUGAGGNACGANAGCUGNNGNAGCGANNCCGAUUAGAUNCCCNNGGUAAGUCCCACGCUGUAAACGAUGC